GGUCGAAAACCAGACGCUUAGCAACCUUCAGCAUAAUAGACUUUGCAGUUGUUCUGGGAAGAAAAUGGCAGCUGUCUAGAAAUUUUAAGGUGCAGCAUACAGAAAACAAAGGCAUCACUGAUCCAUACCUACAUACACCAUAAGGUGAUUAUCUUACCUGUUGAGAACUCAAUUUUGUUUUUGUCUGUUGUUGUGCUUCUAGGGUAAUGAAGGCUUCUCUGGGGCUGAUGAUUUACCAGGCCAAGAAGGACCUAGGAUAUACACCACACAAAUUAUUACAACGAAUGUUCCAGUGGAACCAAAAUAUUUUCCAUUAUUCUUAUAAUGCUUACAGGCUUGACCCUGCCUUCCAAGACUCCAUUAUCUUCAAUAUUCAGGUGUAAGAUUGACUUUGUGCUCCUAGUGGACAGUAAUGUAUCUUGUUUGUACGUGGUGAUUUUAUACAGGUUACAGUUACACUGAUAAUUCAUAGUAGAAGUUAGUUGUCCAUGAAGUACCUCUUUUUACACAAUGCAGGUAUUUGUGUUUGUUAAUUGCAGGGUCUCGUUGGUGUUCCAGGGGAUUUUGGUCCACCCGGACCAAAAGGAGCUCCAGUAAGCUAUGUUUCUGCUUUACAAGAACUAGCAACUCUACUGUAUCUAAAGCUAGACUACUAAAGAGAGGGACCAUAUGGUUUAGCAGAUUGGUAAAUGGGAAAUGGAGUCUUUUACUGCUAGGUCACCAGUUCAAAUGCAUCCCAAGCUGCUAGUGAUUAGUCUCACAAUUUGUUUCCAUCUGACGUUAAUUGACUGGUCUCUAAAACAAAAUGCUCUUAGUCCAGUUCCCACUAGACAGUAAUAUCACGAGAACCAUUAUCACAAUUUGCACUCAUUAGCAUUGAUAUUGGCAGAACUGAAUAGAUGGUGACCUCACUUUCCACACAUAAAAGAAUAAUAUAAAAUUCACAAAAGAAGAACAAGGGACUGUCAUAGGGACAUGGCUGCUCAGUAGUGCUCCCUGUUGGCCAAACACGGUGCUGUGCCUCAGUUUCCCUCACCCAGGUGGGUCUCCCUGGCUCUUUGCACACUAGUUUGUGCUGGAGAUGUGGCUUAGCUCUCCAGCCAAAUCACAACAAACAUAACCUCUUCUGGGGUAGCAAGAGUCCAAACUAAAAAGUCCCACCAAAUUGAAAAGUCCCUCACCUUCUGGGCUCAGUGCCUCAUGUCCUUCCUGGACCUGGUAUAGAGCCUCGGGCUGGUUCCCCUGGAUGACCCUUUUCCUUGCAGGACCUAUCACAGAAGCCAGCCAGCCUGAGCGCCUGCCUGCUCACUCCUUGUGCUUUCAACUUUUGACUGACCUCACUCUCAUUCCAUUAGUCUAUCACCUGACCCUCCUUAGUCCCGC
Molecule: long non-coding RNA, 1383 nt
Filed under: Chrysemys picta bellii (western painted turtle)
Lineage: Eukaryota; Metazoa; Chordata; Testudines; Emydidae
Description: lncRNA (ENSCPBG00000022096.1)
Source: RNAcentral